RNAcentral lists this ribosomal RNA (253 nucleotides) under uncultured bacterium. RNAcentral describes it as "partial 16S ribosomal RNA". It matches the Rfam family "Bacterial small subunit ribosomal RNA", at positions 524 to 776 of the family's 1533-position model. The record is from RNAcentral.
UACGUAGGGGGCGAGCGUUGUCCGGAUUCAUUGGGCGUAAAGCGCGCGUAGGCGGCCCCGCAAGUCGGCCGUGAAAUCUCCGGGCUCAACUCGGAGGGGUCGGGCGAGACUGCGGGGCUCGAGGUGGGCAGAGGGCAGUGGAAUUCCGGGUGUAGUGGUGGAAUGCGUAGAGAUCCGGAGGACCACCACUGGCGAAUUCUGCUGCCUGGGCCUUGCCUGACGCUGAGGCGCUCCAUCUUGGGGAGCGCUCCGG